Molecule: ribosomal RNA, 253 nt
Filed under: uncultured bacterium
Lineage: Bacteria
Description: partial 16S ribosomal RNA
Rfam family: Bacterial small subunit ribosomal RNA
Source: RNAcentral
GAAGUAGGGGGCGAGCGUGGUCCGGAUUUAUUGGGCGUAAAGAGCUCGUAGGCGGCUCAGCAAGUCGGGUGUGAAACCUCCAGGCUCAACCUGGAGACGCCACCUGAUACUGCUGUGGCUAGAGUCCGGUAGGGGAACACGGAAUACCCGGUGUAGCGGUGAAAUGCUUAGAUAUCGGGUGCCCCCCGGUCGCGUCGGCGGUGUUCUGGGCCGGGCCUGGCGCUGAGGAGCGAAAGCGUGGGUAGCAAACAGG